UGACCACACACUUCCAUUUC
RNAcentral lists this unclassified non-coding RNA (20 nucleotides) under Mus musculus (house mouse). RNAcentral's name for it is "oocyte_clustered_small_RNA4289". The record is from RNAcentral. Lineage: Eukaryota; Metazoa; Chordata; Mammalia; Rodentia; Muridae.